CGACAGUGUGAGCCGCUUGACGGUAAACAUAACUUCAUCGCUGCUGUAACUGAAGAGCGCGCAGCAGCGCCUCACGCGCCAGGAGCGAGUAUUUGGCCACAAACAAAUAAACAUAGCUCCCAAAAACAGGUAAAGUCAGACGGGGUUUGUGCAGAAUGACUGAACUCGCGGCCUGAUGUGUGUCUGAAGCCAGCUGAGCUCGACAGCUGCACACAGCUGCUUAAAGGCUGCAGGCUGUCAGAAGACAUCCUCGCGCUCAGACACGUGGCGACGACUUUUAAUUGUUCACUGUCUCGCAGGAGUUUGACUGCAGUUACAUCAGAUGAACACACGGCGGCGGCCGAGUUCCAUCAUUCACCAGAACGAGAGGCAACCUAUGGCACUUGCUCGUCUUCACUGCCGGUGACAUUAUGUGGAAAAAUCAAAGCGAACUGUGUGAUGGAUACGUGGGCCUGGUUAAAAUACCCUCUGCAGAUCCUCAUCGCCAAUUAGAUGGCUGAUAGAUGGCAUUAUCAGUCACGUUAAUGAGCACGGACUGACACGCGUGCCUGCUGUGGUCACCUGGCCUACGUGCCCCCGGUACCAUGCCGCACCACAUUUACCAGUUCCCAUCCAGCUGGGCACGUUAAACAUUGAUAGGCCAAAAAUGUGAUCCUGCUUCCAUGAGUGCCGUAGUUGAGUCAUACACUAUGUUAAGUUCGUUUACAAACAGCACGUGCAGCUUGAACCCGAUGAAGAGCUUCUUCAUCGCUGGCAAACGAUAAGUUGCAGCUUCGACUCAGUGGAUCACAGUUUGCAGUCAGAUUUGUCCCAGCGCUCGAGAAUCACAGCUUUAUUAGGUCUACUUUUACAGUCUUCCCAGCUAACAAAUCCCCGAGAAGCAGACAUUGAGCUGAAGCAUGAGAGAGCAGGGGGAGAGUGACAAUGGAUCGGAGCAGACGCUUUGCCCGCAACACUCACCCAACCAGCAGUGGUAUGAAGUGUUCUUUGUAACGCGUGGAUUUGAGGUAAGUCACAACAAUUUCUAUACAGGUCGACUCUGAAGUGGAGCAGAAUGUCCAGGAAUUAAAUUUUAUGUCCACAGGUUGUUUUUCUUUUACAGGUCCUCCAUUUUUAUCUUUUACAGGUUGUCCAUUGUGUUUUGUUUGUUUAUAUUUCCGACUUGUGACAUGUCGAAAAAAUGAAUCCCCAACUCAGAAGUGGGAAUUUCCCAGGUACACUUGAAGGCAGGUCAAAGACGUAUUUUCCAUUGGGAAACUUGUAGGCAUCAACUCUCCAGUGAAUUGCAGUUUUUAGGGCUGUAUUACAAAAAUAUCAACAUCUCAAAAUAUCAAGA
This is a long non-coding RNA of Cyprinus carpio carpio, 1336 nucleotides long. Lineage: Eukaryota; Metazoa; Chordata; Actinopteri; Cypriniformes; Cyprinidae. The record is from Ensembl.